RNAcentral lists this ribosomal RNA (498 nucleotides) under uncultured bacterium. RNAcentral's name for it is "bacterial SSU rRNA". It matches the Rfam family "Bacterial small subunit ribosomal RNA", at positions 27 to 518 of the family's 1533-position model. The record is from RNAcentral.
GGACGAACGCUGGCGGCGUGCUUAACACAUGCAAGUCGAACGGGGGAUUACCGGGCGGAAGGCUUCGGCCGGAAGGCAGGUAAUCGAGUGGCGGACGGGUGAGUAACGCGUGAACAAUCUGUCCCAGACAGGGGGAUAACACUUGGAAACAGGUGCUAAUACCGCGUAAGACCACGUUGUCGCAUGGCGGUGGGGUAAAAGGAGGAAUCCGGUUUGGGGUGAGUUCGCGUCCGAUUAGAUAGUUGGUGAGGUAACGGCCCACCAAGUCGACGAUCGGUAGCCGAUCUGAGAGGAUGACCGGCCACAUUGGAACUGAGAGACGGUCCAAACUCCUACGGGAGGCAGCAGUGGGGAAUAUUGGGCAAUGGGCGAAAGCCCUGACCCAGCAACGCCGCGUGAGUGAAGAAGGCUUUCGGGUUGUAAAGCUCUGUUAUAGGGGACGAAGUGCGUGACGGUACCCUAUAAGGAAGCCCCGGCUAACUACGUGCCAGCCGCCGC